GAUUUUCAUUACUGACUCCCAGUUCAAUCUGGGACCCGUAGCGCUACCGGGCCACACCUGAGUCACCUGCACCCUGGCUAGGAAGGAGGUAGAGAAAUGGAUCACUGGAAUCAAGAGUCAGAGCUGCAAUUCAUAAGGUGCAGGAACUGGGGUAGCUAAGCACAGCAAUGUGGUCUCCUAUCCUCUCAGUGUCAAUGACAAAAGUCGGUGCCCAACAGUGCCCUGCCAUGACUGCCACUGCCACCACUUGGACCCCAGAGAACAGAGAUGGUGUUAGAUGCUCGCAGCUGGGGAAGAGGCAUGAAAUAUCUGUGAUAAUCUCCACGUAACUUUCCUGAGGAAAACACCAGACAGAACCAGCUUGCCAGAGCCGGCCAAACCCUUGCGGGACAGCAGCACCCUGAAGACAUGGGGUCUCAGGAGGGGGUGUGAAGUCUCCCAGGCCAGACAGAACCUUGAGGCAACUGCACACACCAGCUAUGCUUAACACCUGGGACCAAGAGCGAGCAGAGGAGAUUUCCCAGGUAACAACUGUUAUAAAUUGCAGGUCGGCUAGAGCAGAGAGUGAGCAGGCUGAGAAAAUCACAGCACACCAUGCCUUGGGGGAAACAAGCAACUGCAGGAAGAAGACAAAGCAGAACACUCAGUGAGGGUUCCUGGAAAACAGAAUGGUCAGAGGAGACAACAGCUUUAAUGAAAAGUAAGAACACUUAAAGAGACUCCUUUCAAACAUAAAACGUCAGGCAACUAAAAAGCAUGGUUUUCAAACAACUGCCUACAUUCAUACAAAAGAGGAUGGUCACUUUUGGGAGCUAAUCUGCAGUCUAGAAAACAUAAAUGGAAGAAAUCAAUUCAAAAACAAAAAGAAUAUCUUUUACAAUCCAGUUGCAAAAUAGGAACUACUACAAUUGGUCUAAGCAAAAAGAAAUGUGAUCCAGCAAAAGGAUGCUUACAAGCUUGUCAGCACUGGGGAAGCAGCUGUCGCACUGUCUCCUUAGAACUCAUUACCAAGUAACUGUCGCCCAAAAACCUACCCCUGUAGCGGAUGCGACGUCCCCCCGCCGCUGUGCUGCGCAUGUGUGGACACCGCCCCGCACUACCCACCCACCCCCACCCCCCCGCCCGCUCGUGCCUAUGCUUACUGAUGUCUGGUUGAUAGGAGGCAGGCUGAAAAAAAGUCUGAGACAUGUGACGUCUGGUUGAUAGGAGGCAGGCUGAAAAAAAGUCUGAGACAUGUGGGCUUGCUUUUUCUAAACCUAACGUACACAGGAGGCAUGCUAGAUGGGGUGUGGAGUUAUUAUCUAUUAUCUUGUAGCUAAUGUAAUAUGGAAAACUGCCAUUAUGUCGCAAGAUUUGGAAGUGAAAAAACAUACUCCCUCCCCGCAAAAAAGAGGCGAUCUCUGUGUGCAUAGGCAGACCAGGCAUAUGUUUAAUACAUAGUGAGGAAUAAUUUAAAUUUUAGAAGUACUGUUUUAACUGCUAUAAAGACUUGUGUGAGCCUUUCUGGAUGGGUUUCUUAUGGGUUCACAUUGCUCGCAAAUGUAAAUUCUUACAGCAGACUGCCUUUUUAACACGUUCACUUGAAUUAGUUAAAUUAGGCUCACAUUAGAUAGCCUCCAGCACUGCAAAGGUAAACCGGAUGCUGGUUUGCACACAGACAGAGCAGUGGGGCCUCUAGCUGCCCUUAUCAGGACUGAUGCAUCUACUGCUGCCAAGAUGCCCAGCCGCCCCCCCCCCGGCACUUACCAAGCUGUCUGUAAGUGCUAUGCUUUUGAUCUUUCUUCACUCAAAG
Molecule: long non-coding RNA, 1792 nt
Filed under: Heterocephalus glaber (naked mole-rat)
Lineage: Eukaryota; Metazoa; Chordata; Mammalia; Rodentia; Bathyergidae
Description: lncRNA (ENSHGLG00000040402.1)
Source: RNAcentral